CCUACGGGAGGCAGCAGUGGGGAAUAUUGGUCAAUGAGCGAGAGCCUGAACCAGCCAAGUCGCGUGAAGGAUGAAGGAUCUAUGGUUUGUAAACUUCGUUUAUAUGGGAAUAAAGUGAGGAACGUGUUCCUUUUUGUAUUUACCAUAUGAAUAAGCAUCGGCUAACUCCGUGCCAGCAGCCGCGGUAAUACGGAGGAUGCGAGCGUUAUCCGGAUUUAUUGGGUUUAAAGGGUGCGUAGGUGGUUAAUUAAGUCAGCGGUGAAAGUUUGUGGCUCAACCAUAAAAUUGCCGUUGAUACUGGUUGACUAGAGUUUAUUUGAGGUAGGCGGAAUGCGUGGUGAAGCGGUGAAAUGCAUAGAUAUAACGCAGAACACCGAUUGCGAAGGCAGCUUACUAAACUAUAACUGACACUGAAGCACGAAAGCGUGGGGAGCAAACAGGAUUAGAUACCCCUGUAGUC
Molecule: ribosomal RNA, 460 nt
Filed under: uncultured bacterium
Lineage: Bacteria
Description: partial 16S ribosomal RNA
Rfam family: Bacterial small subunit ribosomal RNA
Source: RNAcentral